Molecule: non-coding RNA, 228 nt
Organism: Pelobates cultripes (western spadefoot toad)
Lineage: Eukaryota; Metazoa; Chordata; Amphibia; Anura; Pelobatidae
Source: the annotation of a GenBank genome assembly
CAAAUUAAAGGAGUCAUCAUGGAUCAUUCUGAUUUUAAGAUCAGCCUCUAUGCUGAUCAUAUAAUAUUAACAUUGACAGAUCUGGUCACAUCGCUAGGGGCCUGGAACGUAGAGUUAGAAAAUUAUAGUAGAGUCUCAAAUUACAAAUUAAAUGUUGGUAAAUCCCAAGUUAUGCCCAUUAACUUAGACUCUAUAACAAUUAAUAGACUAUCAACUAAAUAUCCUUUU